RNAcentral lists this ribosomal RNA (253 nucleotides) under uncultured bacterium. Its description in RNAcentral is "partial 16S ribosomal RNA". It matches the Rfam family "Bacterial small subunit ribosomal RNA", at positions 524 to 776 of the family's 1533-position model. The record is from RNAcentral.
GACAGAGGAGGCAAGCGUUGUUCGGAAUCAUUGGGCUUAAAGGGCGUGUAGGCGGCAACGCAAGUGUCGAGUGAAAUCCCAUCGCUCAACGAUGGAACGGCUCGGCAAACUGCGUGGCUUGAGGUCGGUAGAGGUGUUCGGAACUCUAGGUGGAGCGGUGAAAUGCGUAGAUAUCUAGAGGAACGCCUGAGGCGAAAGCGGGGCGCUGGGCCGAUUCUGACGCUGAGACGCGAAAGCGUGGGGAGCAAACAGG